RNAcentral lists this ribosomal RNA (253 nucleotides) under uncultured bacterium. Its description in RNAcentral is "partial 16S ribosomal RNA". It matches the Rfam family "Bacterial small subunit ribosomal RNA", at positions 524 to 776 of the family's 1533-position model. The record is from RNAcentral.
UACGAAGGGGGCUAGCGUUGCUCGGAAUCACUGGGCGUAAAGCGCACGUAGGCGGACUCUUAAGUCGGGGGUGAAAUCCUGGAGCUCAACUCCAGAACUGCCUUCGAUACUGGGAGUCUUGAGUUCGGGAGAGGUGAGUGGAACUGCGAGUGUAGAGGUGAAAUUCGUAGAUAUUCGCAAGAACACCAGUGGCGAAGGCGGCUCACUGGCCCGAUACUGACGCUGAGGCACGAAGGCCAGGGGAGCAAACGGG